GAUUGAACGCUGGCGGCAUGCCUUACACAUGCAAGUCGAACGGCAGCGCGGACUUCGGUCUGGCGGCGAGUGGCGAACGGGUGAGUAAUACAUCGGAACGUACCCUGUUGUGGGGGAUAACUAGUCGAAAGAUUAGCUAAUACCGCAUACGACCUGAGGGUGAAAGUGGGGGACCGGAAACGGCCUCAUGCAGCAGGAGCGGCCGAUGUCUGAUUAGCUAGUUGGUGGGGUAAAGGCCCACCAAGGCGACGAUCAGUAGCUGGUCUGAGAGGACGAUCAGCCACACUGGGACUGAGACACGGCCCAGACUCCUACGGGAGGCAGCAGUGGGGAAUUUUGGACAAUGGGGGCAACCCUGAUCCAGCAAUGCCGCGUGUGUGAAGAAGGCCUUCGGGUUGUAAAGCACUUUUGUCCGGAAAGAAAUCGCGCUGGUUAAUACCUGGCGUGGAUGACGGUACCGGAAGAAUAAGCACCGGCUAACUACGUG
RNAcentral lists this ribosomal RNA (487 nucleotides) under uncultured bacterium. RNAcentral's name for it is "partial 16S ribosomal RNA". It matches the Rfam family "Bacterial small subunit ribosomal RNA", at positions 27 to 507 of the family's 1533-position model. The record is from RNAcentral.